Molecule: long non-coding RNA, 3408 nt
Organism: Micropterus salmoides (largemouth bass)
Lineage: Eukaryota; Metazoa; Chordata; Actinopteri; Centrarchiformes; Centrarchidae
Exons: 5
Source: RefSeq, a predicted model, not a curated record
AACACUACAGCAAAUCACCACAACACUACAGCAACUCACCACAACACUACAGCAACUCACCACAACACGACAGCAACUCACCACAACACUACAGCAAAUCACCACAAUACUACAGCAACUCACCACAAUACUACAGCAACUCACCACAACACUACAGCAAGUCACCACAACACGACAGCAACUCACCACAACACGACAGCAACUCACCACAACACUACUGCAAAUCACCACAACACGACAGCAAAUCACCACAACUGCAAAUCACCACGACACAACUGCAACUCACCACAACACUACAGCAAAUCACCACAACACAACUGCAACUCACCACAACACUACUGCAAAUCACCACAACACGACAGCAAAUUGCCACAACACAACAGCAAAUCACCACAACUGCAAAUCACCACAACACGACAGCAAAUCACCACGACACGACAGCAAAUCACCAGAACACGACAGCAAAUCGCCACAACACUACAGCAAAUCACCACAACUGCAAAUCACCACAACACUACAGCAUUGAUGAGACUGAAAUGGAAAGGGUAGGUACAUAUUGGAUACUGAUCCUCGUCCUGAUUGGUUGCAUAUCUCUGUCUGUCAUUUUCAAUGCAUAACAAACUUUUACAGUUUCUUCAUCGGCAGUGAAGGGGGAAUGUAGGGUAGAGGCUAACGUUACUGUGGAAAGAGAAAUGAUGUUAACGUUACAAUGUAUUAUUGCUCUUACUGUGGCAAGAAAUUGUUUUCAAAACUACAGCCAAGUUUUUACAGUAGCUGUGGCAAAGGGCUUCCCAGAGUGUUAUUUGACAAAUGUGAAGCCACCACUGAUGAAGCUACACCUGAGAGCGCAGCGUAUUCAGGUAACAUUAACAACAUUAACAUUAUCAACUUUGCUGUAUUUGAAGCUAAGUGAUGUGUAAUGCAUUGUUAUUAACAUAUACCGUUAUGUAACAUUAUGUUAUAGCCACGAAAUAUAAAACCGGCACCAGACAUCUAGCAUCUAGUAAGCUAGGAGUCAUGGCGAGUUCUGCCUACCGCAGGUAAACUACGACACUGUACCUAGCUUCCAAUUUGGCAGUUAAGGGGAACUUAAGUGAAAGUUAACCUACAUUUGCUGAGCAACCGAUUCUUUUUUGCACCUCUUACUGCUGUGAAAGCUGCAUUCUGGGCAAAGCCUUAACGCAGUGAAUAAAUAAUUUCCCCCUUAACUGCCGAAUCGGAAGCUGCGAAACUUCAGUGUCGUAGGUAAGCUGUAUCGUAGUCACGCUAUUGAGCCAAAACGACCCAAAAGGUGAGCUGGUAAAGCCUCUGCAACACCUGUUAAAAAAGUAAUGUAGUAUGCCGUUAUUUAAUUGGCAACGUUACAUUAUCAUUUGAUGAUAGUUGAGAAGCUUGUGGUGCAACAUAAUCUUUUUUUGCAAAGCAGAAAACGGUUUUGAGCUCUGUCUAAAUAAUUUGCCAGAUAAUGUUUAAUGUUAUUUUUGCUUCUCAUCCAGAGUUGGUGUCAAACCAGUGCGGAUCCACAAACCCAACUCUUUGUACUUUUUUGCAAUACCGCAAGAAAAAGUCAGAGGAAAGACUUUUCAUUUGGGGGAAUGGGAAAAGUGUCGAGAUAAAUAUUGGAUUGAUGGCACUGCAGAAGGGUGUUUUAAAACCUUUGUGUGAAAAAACACUUCCAUUGCUUAUAGACCCUGAGAAGAAGAUGAAGGACUUCAAUAGGGAUCUUGAAGACCACAGACCCUUCAUCCUCUUGUACCCAGAUUCAUGUUGAUGUGCCUUGAACAGACCGUCCUUUUGUGCUGAAGGAAUAUAAGGCACAAGUUGGGAAAGCAUAUCAGAGGAUCACAAAUUUUUGAGAAAGGAAGUACACAGACCUGUAUUCGCCAGUUGUCAUUGAUGAUGAAGAUGAGGUGGAGGAAAUUGCUAAUGAAAGACAUAUUUUGACAAAGGAACCUGAAUUCAAAGAUGGUCUAGGAAGUCUGCAGCAUUGCAGCAGCAUCCUGGUGUGCUAGCGCCUGUCCUAUGCUACUCAAACAGGAAGCUAACUGCGGCAGACAUGGAGGCCCUCUUCAGACCAGAACUAAGUCCAGCAGGAAGCAACAGAAGGCAGGAGGAAGGGAAAACGCUGCAAUUUUGGGUUGAUUAUCUCUUUGACACUGAAGAAACACAGACUACAGUAUCUCUGGAAGAUGUACUAAUGUUUGCCACAGGGCUGUCAUCAAUGCCACCUGCAGGGAUAACACUUGCACCAAGCAUUGAAUUCCUUAACAAUUCACUGUUCCCGAUGGCAAAUACAUGUGCCAAUAAGCUGAGGUUACCACAUCUGGACUCAUACUGUCUACUCAAAACAAACAUGGGUUUUGGUGUCCAUAAUUCCCCAGGAUUUGGGUGCAUGUAAAUGAAUGUGAUAUUGUAACUUAGAGGGUAUCUUCAGUUUUUUCAACCUGGACCAUGUUUUUGUGUCUAAGUGACUGAUGGUAACAACAAUCUUUGUAAAUGGUCUAGUGUUAAGCCAGACUGGUGCAGUCAGCAGUGGUAAAACAGGCUCCAAUGUAAUAUUAAUUUUUUUAAUGUUUUUGUGGAAGUAAAUUGAAGGAGCGCAAAGUGCUUGUUUUACCCACCACAGACAUGAUCAGUGUCUUACAGAAAGCAUUUUUUGUGGACUUAAAUUGCCCAAUAACUUAAAAUGUAGCUUUAGCUUGUUUCGUCACUGCCUACUGCAACAGUCUUGCUUAUUAAGCCUACUACAAAUUAAAAAAAUUAUUGUUCCCACCAGUCACUUAAACACAAAAACAUAGGAAAAUAAGAUCCAGGCUGAAAAUUACACAAUCAUUAAAAACAAAAUCAGUGUUAUUUGCAAAGGAUGUUGUAGAGUGUUCCUACAUAACCUAGUAGCCUACACUGAAAAUAAAAUGGCUUAAGAGCCUUGCCUUAGCACAUUGCAUUUGUUGUACAUUUUCCCUGGGCAGAAGCAACAGUGUUUGUAGAAUGCAUUGCCUUUCGCUUUGAUUUAGGAAUUUUGCACUUUUUUGACACUAUCGUUAUUCAUGCCCAUUGGCUGUUGUCCUUUGAGGUUCCAUUUAACAAAGAAAAAAUCUAUGUAAUAAAAUGUAAAAACAAUAACAAAAAACAGGUGUCUGUACAUGUGCUGUCAUUAGUGACCUGCAUCUCAAUGGAAGGUCAUUUUCUAUUUAUAAUCCAUCUAUAUUUCCUUGAGAUCAAAGUACAGUUCUAAUGAUGCCUCCCAAUGCUCUGGCCUCUGCAAUCCAUUUUGUACCAUUGCAUGCUCUAAAUAGUCCUGAAUGUCUGGAUCACCGCAUGAAGAAAAGAUCUGCCUUGACUCAGUAAAUGCCUCCAGUUCCAUUCCUUCAAUAGCAAAUCCACAGUCCCUUGAACCGAACCUGUAAA